GAUGAACGCUGGCGGCGUGCCUAAUACAUGCGAGUCGAGCGAACAGACGAGGAGCUUGCUCCUCUGACGUUAGCGGCGGACGGGUGAGUAACACGUGGAUAACCUACCUAUAAGACUGGGAUAACUUCGGGAAACCGGCGCUAAUACCGGAUAAUAUAUUGAACCGCAUGGUUCAAUAGUGAAAGACGGUUUUGCUGUCACUUAUAGAUGGAUCCGCGCCGCAUUAGCUAGUUGGUAAGGUAACGGCUUACCAAGGCAACGAUGCGUAGCCGACCUGAGAGGGUGAUCGGCCACACUGGAACUGAGACACGGUCCAGACUACUACGGGAGGCAGCAGUAGGGAAUCUUCCGCAAUGGGCGAAAGCUUGACGGAGUAACGCCGCGUGAGUGAUGAAGGUCUUCGGAUCGUAAAACUCGGUUAUUAGGGAAGAACAAAUGUGUAAGUAACUAUGCACGUCUUGACGGUACCUAAUCAGAAAGCCACGGCUAACUACGUG
Molecule: ribosomal RNA, 497 nt
Filed under: uncultured bacterium
Lineage: Bacteria
Description: partial 16S ribosomal RNA
Rfam family: Bacterial small subunit ribosomal RNA
Source: RNAcentral